This 254-nucleotide ribosomal RNA is filed under the name uncultured bacterium. RNAcentral describes it as "partial 16S ribosomal RNA". It matches the Rfam family "Bacterial small subunit ribosomal RNA", at positions 524 to 777 of the family's 1533-position model. The record is from RNAcentral.
AACGUAGGAGACAAACGUUAUCCGGAGUUACUGGGCGUAAAGGGCGUGUAGGCGGUUAGUUAAGUCUGGCGUGAAAGCUCUCGGCUAAACCGGGAGAGGUCGUUGGAUACUGGCUGACUAGAGGACGGUAGAGGCGUGUGGAAUUCCGAGUGUAGUGGUGAAAUGCGUAGAGAUCCGGAGGAACACCAGUGGCGAAGGCGACACGCUGGGCCGUACCUGACGCUAAAGCGCGACAGCAUGGGGAGCAAACGGGG